UUGCAGCCAAUUAAGCCGACCAGUUUCCUUUACUCAUAGGGACCUGGUGUGCAGUGACUGCAGACAGCAGCCUCCUUGGUAGUGUAUGCAGCCUGUUGUUUGUGUAGGUUGCUCUAAGGGACCUUGGAAACAGGU
Molecule: small nucleolar RNA, 135 nt
Organism: Castor canadensis (American beaver)
Lineage: Eukaryota; Metazoa; Chordata; Mammalia; Rodentia; Castoridae
Gene: SNORA70
Rfam family: Small nucleolar RNA SNORA70
About the family: snoRNA U70 seems to be exclusive to mammals and is a member of the H/ACA class of snoRNA which contain H (ANANNA) and ACA box motifs.
Source: Ensembl